GCAGUCGAGCGGAACGAUGGGAGCUUGCUCCCAGGCGUCGAGCGGCGGACGGGUGAGUAACGCGUAGGAAUCUACCCAGUAGCGGGGGAUAGCCCGGGGAAACCCGGAUUAAUACCGCAUACGCCCCACGGGGGAAAGCAGGGGAUCUUCGGACCUUGCACUAUUGGAUGAGCCUGCGUUGGAUUAGCUAGUUGGUGGGGUAAUGGCCUACCAAGGCGACGAUCCAUAGCUGGUCUGAGAGGAUGAUCAGCCACACUGGGACUGAGACACGGCCCAGACUCCUACGGAAGGCAGCAGUAGGGAAUAUUGGACAAUGGGGGCAACCCUGAUCCAGCCAUGCCGCGUGUGUGAAGAAGGCUUUCGGGUUGUAAAGCACUUUCAGCGAGGAGGAAAUGGCAGCGGCUAAUAUCCGCAGUCUAUGACGUUACUCGCAGAAGAAGGACCGGCUAACUCCGUGCCAGCAGCCGCGGUAAUACGGAGGGUCCGAGCGUUAAUCGGAAUUACUGGGCGUAAAGCGCGCGUAGGCGGUUAGAUCAGUCGGGUGUGAAAGCCCCGGGCUCAACCUGGGAACUGCAUUCGAUACUGUCUGACUGGAGUAUGGGAGAGGGCAGUGGAAUUCCAUGUGUAGCGGUGAAAUGCGUAGAUAUGUGGAGGAACACCAGUGGCGAAGGCGACUGCCUGGCCCAAUACUGACGCUGAGGUGCGAAAGCGUGGGGAGCGAACAGGAUUAGAUACCCUGGUAGUCCACGCCGUAAACGAUGUCAACUAGCCGUUGGG
RNAcentral lists this ribosomal RNA (777 nucleotides) under uncultured Gammaproteobacteria bacterium. RNAcentral's name for it is "bacterial SSU rRNA". It matches the Rfam family "Bacterial small subunit ribosomal RNA", at positions 57 to 827 of the family's 1533-position model. Lineage: Bacteria; Pseudomonadati; Pseudomonadota; Gammaproteobacteria. The record is from RNAcentral.